Long non-coding RNA from Papaver somniferum (opium poppy), 3950 nucleotides. RefSeq lists it as uncharacterized. The record is from RefSeq and is a predicted model, not a curated record. The transcript has 7 exons. Lineage: Eukaryota; Viridiplantae; Streptophyta; Magnoliopsida; Ranunculales; Papaveraceae.
UCUUAGUUGCAUCCAUGGAUGGCUUUAGGGUUAGGAAUAAUAAUAUCUUAUCUCUAUGUUCAUCUUUUUUUUUACAGUAAUACUAUGAGGUUAUAGAUAAAAUCAAGAAACAAUGGAAAUACCAUCAUGUUUAGGGUUCUGAAUCUAUAAUUGUCUUCUUCUUCUUUGUAUUUUUUUUUGAUCGGUUUCUUCAUCUUUGUGUUCAUCCAAUAUGUAGAUACAUAUAUGUUUCAUGUGCUAGAUAAUAUACAAAGAUUUCAUCAGGAAGAGCCUGCUACAUCAAAUCGUGUUUAUGGAUCUAAAUAAUUCUUGAAAGGAAAAAAAAAGUAUAAGAAAGAGAUAUAUGAUUGCGAUGCUGUAUAGAUCUUAGUGUUAGAUGUUUCCCGAUUUCCCUGUGGCCGGACGGAUUCCCUGCCGCUGCAGGUCUCGGCGGUGACCACUUUUCGACCAAUAUCAUUAGCGUCGGAUAAGUCCCUUUUGAGCAUCGGCGUGGGAGAAGAAGAUAUAUCAGGAUGCCAUAGGUUGAACCAAUGUCAUGAUCUUCCGAAAACUCAUUCCUAAACAUCGGAGCAGCUACUAGUUUGGGAGACGAAGUUAUACCAGGAAGGCAAGGUAAGGCAUGGAUGUGAAUUGAAUUGUGACUUGGUUGUAAUUUGAUUGUGCGCACAUGACUACAGAACCUUGUACUAGUGCCAUACAUAAAAGCUAUUCUCCAUUUUGAAUAUAAAUAUAUUUGGGUUAGUUUGUUAAAGAUCAUUGUUUCUGAAUUAGAAUCUGAAAGGAAGAUGGUCUUGUAGUUAUUUUUCUGUGUCAUAUGGCCGGACAUAGACCCUGUAGGUGCCGGAGGUAGACCGGCAAUAGAUGACUGUGUAGGAUACUUGAGUCCAAACUUUUGUUUUAUUUUCUUUUGAGCUAAAUGUUUUUUUUCCUCUUUUUGGGUUUUGGUGGCGUAGCCUAAUGCAUCUUUAAGAUUUAGUGGUAUGAGAACUUGUUUAUAAGAGCCUGAGGUAUUACUGCUCCUACUGAUUCAUGUUAAAGAGUGACUCUAGUCAUCAUGGUCAAGGUUCGGAAGCAGGGGCGGAGCCAGCCCAUUGCAAGGGUGUGUUGUUGCACCCCCUGCCCAGCUGGCUCCAAAGCCCAUUUCAAGGCCUUUAAGAAUUUCUUUUUUAUAGUUAAGCCUAUUUUAGCAAUUUUGGACCCCCAAAAUUUUUGGUUGCACCCAUAACAAGUUUUUGCAUCCCCUUCCCGUAUUUUCUGGCUCCGACCCUGUUCGGAAGCCCCUCUCUUGAAUAAUUUAUCUCUGCUUCAAAGGAGUUGUAGGUUUGCUUUUGUUUGGGUCCGUCUAUUCCUCUGUUGCAUUAUACCUGUUUCACAUUUGGACCACCACUUGCUUAACAAUAGUGUACCCUUAGCUCUACCUAUUUCUGCCACAUUAUUAAUCUGCCUAAACAUGUGGUACCAGUUCUACAGAAAACUUUAAAAGAUAUAUAUAGGUAAUCAAAUCAUUUUUAUUUAAAAAUUGCUGUACCUUUAUUUAUCAAAAGAUCUUUGUACAUUAACGACUCUUUAUUAAUUUCAGACUCUCAACCAACCCCAUCCAUUUCUCUAACCAAAAUCUUUACAUCCCAAAACUUCUCUAUUUUUACAUUUCAUAUGUAAUACAUCUUCUCAUCCCAUUUUCUACAUCAAAAACCAUUGUGUAUCUCUAUGCACUUUGUUUGUGGAAGAUGUUCGCCAUUAACGGCAAAGUCUAUCAAUAAAUCAUUAUAACAUGCAGGUGCGGAGCCAGCCCAUUGCAAGGGAAUGCAUUAGCACCCCUGCCCAGCUGGCACAAAGCCUUCUUCAGGUCCAAUUAGAAAAAAAAUAUUACAUGUACAAGCCUAUUUUUGUUUUUUAGUACCCAAUAGAAAAUUUCCGCACCUCCAUCCCACAAUUCUUGGCUCCGCUCCUGAUAACACGUUCCAAAAUGAAGAAAAAUGGAUGUAAAGAUCUAAUUUUACUUUUUCUACCGAGCAUCACAAGAUCUGCAUUUAUGGCUCAUCAUUCAAUUUUACUUCUCCCAAGUCCCAACCAACCUGUGUAAGGAAAAACUAAUAUCAUGUUUGAGUAUUUUUGUAUUUUUAGUUGUUUAAUUCAUUCUUCAUCUUUAUAUCUUUGUGUAUAGUUUUUUUUUGUUUGAUUCAAGGAAUCAAUAUCAUGAGGCUCUUGAGAUUCACUUUUCUACAUGGGAGCAGCUAUGGGCGUGGAAGAAAAAGAAGUUGUACCAGGAAGUUAAGAUUGGAUUUUUGAAGUCAAUGAACCGGUAUCAUGAGGGUUCACAGAGUAGAGUCACUCUUUAACAUUGGUGCUGACGUUGAUUUGGGGGAGAAAAUUAUAUCAGGAAGCCAAGAUUGAACCAAUUUCAUGAACGUCAGAAUAGUCAUUUCUCAACGUCUUAGCCGCUACUGAAUAUACCAGGAAGUCAAGGGUAAAUCCAUCUUUGUGAUCGAGUGGCACGACAAGUUGUUUACAAGAGCCUGAAACUCAGCAAGGUGACCGGAUGUGGGGAAACGUCACGUCGGCCGGAUAUGGAAAAAUUAAUAUCAUAGCUUCAAUUAUUUAAUUCGUUCAUUUUUUAAAUUAAUAUUAGUUUUUCUUCUUCUUCUUCAAUUAACCAGUAUUAUGAAGAUUCACUUUUUUCAUUAGAUCUGACACAAAAAUAUUCACCCAUAAGAUAAAGUUGUUGCAUAAGAUCUAAAAUUCUAAUUCACCCAUACCAUACCAUUGAUGCAUAAGAUCUAAAAUUCAAAAUAUUCAUCAGUCAGAUGACUAACACUGAAUAUUGAAUAGUGGAUCUAAGAACAGUAAAUAAAAUGAUAAGAAAAUUAUCAAAACAUUUUAGAUAAGCUAGAUAAAGAUUCAAAAGCCCUACGCAAAAGAUAACUAGAUAAAAACCUAAAACCCCAUAAAACUCACUACAACUCACAUCUUAGUGAUUGAACUUAAUCUUGUGAGCUUCAAAUUCUUCCCGUGAGAAGUAGAUCUUUCCCAUAUCCAGUCCCUUGUUGCAAACCCCCUUCUUACAAAUCCAGAAAUCACCAGUACCUUUCUUCGUUGCUUUCUUCAUCUCACGUUCUUGCUUUUUCUCAAGCUCUUUUUUGGACAAGCGCUUUUCACCUUUCUCUUCUCUCUCUCUGUUGGGAGCCAUUGUCUGCUCUCAAAUUUCUCUUUGAUUCAGAUCUAAAAUUACAGAUGGUAGAAAGGAAGGAGGAGGAGUCUAUCGUUAAAUAUCUAGAAGUUUUCUUGUUGAAAAACCAUCUCUACCCUUUCAUAUUCUACACAAUUACAAUGACUCUUGAAACUUGACCUUUGACUUUGAAAUACCUAUUUGCAUCCAUCCCUGUAUCGACUUGGAAAUUUAUCAAAGCAGCCGGGAUUGUUGUUCAUAAUUCGCCCAUUUAUAUGACGUGUAAGUUCGGCCCUACAAUCUCUGCCCAUUAGCACCAAAUUGCUUUGGGCUUUGCUUAAUUACAUCUUUUAAGGUCCCAACACCAGCUAGGGGCGUACUAGUUUUAUCAAGAACGCAUUUUUGGGGACUACUCCCUUUUUGUGGGGGAUUACUAUGGGUGGAUAGUGGAAGUAAACUGGGUCACCCCUUAUCCUAAUUUUUUAUUAUUACCAAAGAAAGCCCUUGGUAAUUAAAUUAGUGUUAGUGUAAUGAUUUUUUAGUGUUAGUGUAAUAGUUAGUCUAGUGAUUAGUGAGUUAAUAAUAUGAUAGGUUUGUUAGAAUCAGAAUUAUUGAGAGAAAGAAGAAGAAAAGAUGAACAAAAAGAUGGUGAACCCAAAAAAUCUUAUUUUGAGUUUUCAAAAUAUGAUUUGAGUGAUUCAUGUGAUGAUAGCUCCUCAUCUGAAUCAAAACUUCAUACAUCUCCUAAUGUAUUUGUCAAUCUUCAUAAAGAUCCGGAUAUGAU